This is a long non-coding RNA of Camellia sinensis, 672 nucleotides long. RefSeq lists it as uncharacterized. The record is from RefSeq and is a predicted model, not a curated record. Lineage: Eukaryota; Viridiplantae; Streptophyta; Magnoliopsida; Ericales; Theaceae.
CCCACUUUUUUCUUCAUUACAACAUAUCUCUCUCUAAACAUUACUCUCUUCUCUUUUCUUCUCCUCUCUACCCAACUCCACCAACCCUCGUUUUUUCUUUGAUCUAGCAAAAUCCAUAGAUUUUUUAACCUUCGUUAUUGAGGUCAAAUUGGAAAGCACAUCAAGGGUUUCGUUUUGUAGUGGAGAUCGGAUUUCGUUGAUGUGGAAAUUUGGGGCUUUUCUUCUUUUUCCCUUCUAGGACUUGAGGUUUUCAAGUGCAAAGAAGAAUUGCUCAGUUGGGCAUGGGAUGUUGAAAGCAAAAAUGGUUUUGUGAUUGUCAUCAAGACAUCGGACUAUGGUGGUGGUCAUAGGACACCAAUGAUAUAUCUUGCCUGUGAGAGAAGUGGUCAAUACAGAGCUCAUAAGAAAUUAAAAGGAGAUGGUUCAAACAACAAAAUUGUGAAGAUAAUGGGUACAAAGAAAUGUUGGUGUCCCUUUGAGUUGAAGGCUCGUAAAUUGAUGGCUGAUGAUGAUUGGAUGAUAGAUAUAGCAUGUGGAAUGCAUAACCAUGCUCUUGCUAAACAUUUUGAAGGACAUUCAUUUGUAGAGAGAUUAUCUGAGGAGGAAACAUCAUUAUUAGUGGACAUGUCCAAAAGCAUGGUCAGACCAAAAAAGAUUUUGGUUACCUUGAAA